GUGUACUUGCGUGCCAGAAUUUCCUGCAGUUCUUGACGAGAGAUUUCUCCGGUGUUUUCUGGAGUUGUUCGUGAAGAACAAAAAGGAGGUUCUUUCAAAGAUUCAUGAGUGAUCCGACCAAAGAUGGGAACUAAGAACGUUUCUUGUUUUAAGCGUCUCCAGCAAUGGUGGAGAAGGCUGACAAAGAACACCAACAAUGAAUCAAAGGAUGUUCAGAAGAACCAGACUUCUCCGUUUUCCAAAACCGAGUGGAAACAGCUUCUUCAACAAUUUGAGGUUUUCAAAAAGAAGUCGACCAAAGAAAAUGCUCUUAUUUUUGAAGGAAGUGAGGAAAGUGCAAACACUUACCUCGUAUCUGAUAUUUUUGAAAAGUUGAAGAAGAAUUUCAAGAAUUACAGGUUGAAAAUGCUCCUACAGUGUUUUUAAUAGACUCCGCCCACAACAUGGAUGAGGAGUCUGCAGAUCUGCUGUCGAGUGUUUUGCUGUCUUUACAACGGCGCAUGCUUCUCAUCAUGACAAUGAAGCCAUUGAACCCUCAGUGCUCAACCAACUUGCAAUUCUUUGCCAAUAGUUCUUCGAUUCUGAGAGUUAAAAUGAGAAUUCCAUGCAACAUGUAAGUGAUCUGUAUAUUCCUUUGCUGCAACAUUUUUGGCUGCAAUUUUUUUUACGG
RNAcentral lists this long non-coding RNA (670 nucleotides) under Eptatretus burgeri (inshore hagfish). Its description in RNAcentral is "lncRNA (ENSEBUG00000017339.1)". Lineage: Eukaryota; Metazoa; Chordata; Myxini; Myxiniformes; Myxinidae. The record is from RNAcentral.